RNAcentral lists this ribosomal RNA (1501 nucleotides) under Salmonella enterica subsp. enterica serovar Anatum. RNAcentral's name for it is "bacterial SSU rRNA". It matches the Rfam family "Bacterial small subunit ribosomal RNA". Lineage: Bacteria; Pseudomonadati; Pseudomonadota; Gammaproteobacteria; Enterobacterales; Enterobacteriaceae. The record is from RNAcentral.
CACAUGCAAGUCGAACGGUAACAGGAAGCAGCUUGCUGCUUCGCUGACGAGUGGCGGACGGGUGAGUAAUGUCUGGGAAACUGCCUGAUGGAGGGGGAUAACUACUGGAAACGGUGGCUAAUACCGCAUAACGUCGCAAGACCAAAGAGGGGGACCUUCGGGCCUCUUGCCAUCAGAUGUGCCCAGAUGGGAUUAGCUUGUUGGUGAGGUAACGGCUCACCAAGGCGACGAUCCCUAGCUGGUCUGAGAGGAUGACCAGCCACACUGGAACUGAGACACGGUCCAGACUCCUACGGGAGGCAGCAGUGGGGAAUAUUGCACAAUGGGCGCAAGCCUGAUGCAGCCAUGCCGCGUGUAUGAAGAAGGCCUUCGGGUUGUAAAGUACUUUCAGCGGGGAGGAAGGUGUUGUGGUUAAUAACCGCAGCAAUUGACGUUACCCGCAGAAGAAGCACCGGCUAACUCCGUGCCAGCAGCCGCGGUAAUACGGAGGGUGCAAGCGUUAAUCGGAAUUACUGGGCGUAAAGCGCACGCAGGCGGUCUGUCAAGUCGGAUGUGAAAUCCCCGGGCUCAACCUGGGAACUGCAUUCGAAACUGGCAGGCUUGAGUCUUGUAGAGGGGGGUAGAAUUCCAGGUGUAGCGGUGAAAUGCGUAGAGAUCUGGAGGAAUACCGGUGGCGAAGGCGGCCCCCUGGACAAAGACUGACGCUCAGGUGCGAAAGCGUGGGGAGCAAACAGGAUUAGAUACCCUGGUAGUCCACGCCGUAAACGAUGUCUACUUGGAGGUUGUGCCCUUGAGGCGUGGCUUCCGGAGCUAACGCGUUAAGUAGACCGCCUGGGGAGUACGGCCGCAAGGUUAAAACUCAAAUGAAUUGACGGGGGCCCGCACAAGCGGUGGAGCAUGUGGUUUAAUUCGAUGCAACGCGAAGAACCUUACCUGGUCUUGACAUCCACGGAAGUUUUCAGAGAUGAGAAUGUGCCUUCGGGAACCGUGAGACAGGUGCUGCAUGGCUGUCGUCAGCUCGUGUUGUGAAAUGUUGGGUUAAGUCCCGCAACGAGCGCAACCCUUAUCCUUUGUUGCCAGCGAUUAGGUCGGGAACUCAAAGGAGACUGCCAGUGAUAAACUGGAGGAAGGUGGGGAUGACGUCAAGUCAUCAUGGCCCUUACGACCAGGGCUACACACGUGCUACAAUGGCGCAUACAAAGAGAAGCGACCUCGCGAGAGCAAGCGGACCUCAUAAAGUGCGUCGUAGUCCGGAUUGGAGUCUGCAACUCGACUCCAUGAAGUCGGAAUCGCUAGUAAUCGUGGAUCAGAAUGCCACGGUGAAUACGUUCCCGGGCCUUGUACACACCGCCCGUCACACCAUGGGAGUGGGUUGCAAAAGAAGUAGGUAGCUUAACCUUCGGGAGGGCGCUUACCACUUUGUGAUUCAUGACUGGGGUGAAGUCGUAACAAGGUAACCGUAGGGGAACCUGCGGUUGGAUCACCUCCUUACCUUAAAGAA